AAAAAAGGCUCACAAAACCAUCUCUUCUUCUCCUUACUUGGCCGGCCAUUUCUCCCUCCAUUUGCCAAGAAAAUUUCAGCUUCAUCUUCUUCAUUUUGUUCCCUAAAUCUUGCUCCACCUAGCCCAUUCUCUUGGAGCAUCCUCAAGCUUAGUAGGAGAUUUGAAGGAGGAGAGAUUCUUGGUGAUUUAAAACUUAAACUCUUGUGGUUUUGCCUACUACUCUUGGAAGGAAGAUCCGAGAAGGCGAUAUGGUAGAUGGAAGAAAUAAGUGGAGCUCUACAGACAUGUUGCUGGUUGAGUUGACAGAGGGUCAAUCAAAGAUGGCAUGAACCGGUCGAGACAUGGAAAUAGCUCCUUAGACCUCCUGUAGCCUUUUCACUUGUGUUUUAUUUCCUACUUACUCGUUUAUAUGAAGUUGGUGUUAAGUCUCUCCUAAGUGUUCUAUUUGAAUUAGGUCAAGUUACUUGUUUACUUGCUUGCUUGAUUUCUUGGCUUCAUUGAGCAUUAGCUCACUCCAAUUUGUUUUUCUUAAUAGGUUUUGGAAGUGAAAGUUGGGAAGUUCUAGACUAGCGGUUUUGGUUGAAACUAGUAAAUUUUUUUGUAUGAUAUUGGAGACAUUAGAAGUGUAUUUUUUUUUUUUAUAUUUGGGUUUUGGAUUGUAAUUGUACACAGUUGCCUUAGAAGAAUUUGGUUUGUA
Long non-coding RNA from Coffea arabica (coffee), 697 nucleotides. RefSeq lists it as uncharacterized. NCBI's taxonomy places the organism in Eukaryota, Viridiplantae, Streptophyta, Magnoliopsida, Gentianales, Rubiaceae. The record is from RefSeq and is a predicted model, not a curated record.